Brassica rapa (field mustard) is the source of this 987-nucleotide long non-coding RNA. RefSeq lists it as uncharacterized. Lineage: Eukaryota; Viridiplantae; Streptophyta; Magnoliopsida; Brassicales; Brassicaceae. The record is from RefSeq and is a predicted model, not a curated record.
AAAUUUUACAUAGAAAACCGAAAACGACAUAUAAUUUGGAACAAAAAAGUUUCUCUAAAACGACUUAUAUUAAAAAACGGAGGGAGUACUAAAUAGUUACAGUUUUUAAAAAAUAAUUAAUAAGAGCUGAUAAAACAGUACCUCUAACUCUCGUAUUAGUGUGAUACGUUAGGCAUGAAAGUCUUCUGAAUACAAUUGAUAGUUACGACUUACGGUAUGGAGCCGUACGUUGUGGUCGAGAACGAAUUCAAACAUCUUAAUGGCUAUUAACUAGUAGAGCAACGACAGAUUUAAACGUUUUUUUUUUCCUUAAAACAUGUCUAGACAUUGGCAUGAAUUACCAUUUACUAAUUUGACUCAUGAAUCUAAUUCAAAGAUAUUGUCUAGACGUUGGGAGGAGUCUACAUUUGAAAAAAAAGAAUUAAUUUAACGUGGUUUAAAAAAAAGUUUCGUUUUCAAAGAAUGUAACAGGUCUACUAGAAUCUCCUAGUCAUUCAACUGGAAAUCUUUUAGCAUGUAACAAGAUAAUCGUGCAUUCUUUUCAUUUAGUCUACACCAAUUUUGCUAGAGGAUGUAUAGACAAAUCCUUGUUCUUUUCCUGUCCAAGGUUUGUACCCCAUUUGAUGAGAUAACUGGUCAAAUGGCCUAGAUUGAGAAUGUUCGAGAUGAAUCAUCUCAGAUGAUAAAAGCAAGUUGCCAAUAAAUGACAUGAUUAUGUUAUUCUAUAGUUCAAAACAAAAAUUGCAUCAUAUAAAGACAUGGGAUGGGACAACAAAACAGGUUCCCAUCUUUAUCUCGACAAAUUUUCGUGGAACAAAAAUUAAAACUAAAAAAUUAAAAAUAAAAAAACAGUUUCAAAAAGUAUUUUUGAAUUAUAAAAAGAAAAUUUAAAAAAAAAACUAAAAAAAGUUUCGAAAAAAAAAUUCAAAAAAAAAAUUAUAAAAAAUUUCGAAUCUGAAAACAUAUAAUCUGAAAUUAUAAAAAAUU